GAGUAAACCGCUGGUGGCCUGCCCCAAAAAAGGGGAUAACAUCCCGAAAAGGGCAGUAAUACCGCAUGUGGUUGAAAGAGAUUAGAAUAUUUCAAGUAAAGGAGAUAUCCUUUUUGGGAGGGGCCUGNGUCCCAUCAGCUAGUCGGUGGGGUAACGGCCCCCCAAGGCGAAGACGGGUUAGGGACCUGAGAGGGUGACCCCCCGCAAUNGAUCUGAAACACGGUCCAUACACCUUCGGGUGGCCGCAGUAGGGAA
RNAcentral lists this ribosomal RNA (255 nucleotides) under bacterium enrichment culture DGGE gel band A27. Its description in RNAcentral is "partial 16S ribosomal RNA". It matches the Rfam family "Bacterial small subunit ribosomal RNA", at positions 108 to 361 of the family's 1533-position model. The record is from RNAcentral.